AAAGUGACGUCAGCCUUGUAACCUCGCAACGCAAAACCAAGGGUGGUCUUUAGGAUAUUGUGGGUUUGUAAAGAAAUAGGCUAAGAUCGACGCGAUACGAAGCGUGUGACGACUAGAAUAAAGAUAGGAAAAGAAAACUACGCGAGUGACUAGUGUUGCUAUACUGGGAUUUCCAACACCAUGGAAAACGUGGUCAUUGGAGCGUUCUCCAAUCUUUCGAAGAUGUUCCGACUAUUCAUUGUUUCUCAAGUUACUUACUAAUCGCUUUAUUGUCACAGCGGUCAGGGGCGUGUAUUUUGUUAACAUGGGACAAUGGAAAUUUUCUUUUAUGGAAAAAAUUCUUUAAGAAAAUUACAGGUAAGGAAUUAAAUAUACAUAGAUUUCUACAACUUCUUGAUCACAGUUUACAUCAAAGUCAAUUUGAACAGUCAGAUAUUAGCAGUUACGGCGACAUAACUGACAUUGAUACAUCAUUCACACCAGAAAAACAUGCUUAGUUCAACCGGAUUUAACUGAAUGAAUAUCAAAAACAGAACUGAAAAACUGAAUUUU
Molecule: long non-coding RNA, 552 nt
Organism: Stylophora pistillata
Lineage: Eukaryota; Metazoa; Cnidaria; Anthozoa; Scleractinia; Pocilloporidae
Source: RefSeq, a predicted model, not a curated record